UACGGAGGGUGCUAGCGUUAAUCGGAAUUACUGGGCGUAAAGCGCACGUAGGCGGCGUAUACAGUCAGGGGUGAAAGGCCUGGGCUCAACCCGGGAACUGCCUUUGAUACUGAUAUGCUUGAGUACGGGAGAGGGUAGUGGAAUUCCCAGUGUAGAGGUGAAAUUCGUAGAUAUUGGGAAGAACACCGGUGGCGAAGGCGGCUACCUGGCUCGGAACUGACGCUGAGGCACGAAAGCGUGGGUAGCAAACAGG
This 253-nucleotide unclassified non-coding RNA is filed under the name uncultured Rhodospirillales bacterium. Its description in RNAcentral is "contains 16S-23S intergenic spacer region". It matches the Rfam family "Bacterial small subunit ribosomal RNA", at positions 524 to 776 of the family's 1533-position model. Lineage: Bacteria; Pseudomonadati; Pseudomonadota; Alphaproteobacteria; Rhodospirillales. The record is from RNAcentral.